GAUGAACGCUGGCGGCGUGCCUAAUACAUGCAAGUCGAGCGAACAGAUGAGGAGCUUGCUCCUCUGACGUUAGCGGCGGACGGGUGAGUAACACGUGGAUAACCUACCUAUAAGACUGGGAUAACUUCGGGAAACCGGAGCUAAUACCGGAUAAUAUAUUGAACCGCAUGGUUCAAUAGUGGAAGACGGUUUUGCUGUCACUUAUAGAUGGAUCCGCGCCGCAUUAGCUAGUUGGUAAGGUAACGGCUUACCAAGGCAACGAUGCGUAGCCGACCUGAGAGGGUGAUCGGCCACACUGGAACUGAGACACGGUCCAGACUCCUACGGGAGGCAGCAGUAGGGAAUCUUCCGCAAUGGGCGAAAGCCUGACGGAGCAACGCCGCGUGAGUGAUGAAGGUCUUCGGAUCGUAAAACUCUGUUAUUAGGGAAGAACAAAUGUGUAAGUAACUAUGCACGUCUUGACGGCACCUAAUCAGAAAGCCACGGCUAACUACGUG
This 497-nucleotide ribosomal RNA is filed under the name uncultured bacterium. Its description in RNAcentral is "partial 16S ribosomal RNA". It matches the Rfam family "Bacterial small subunit ribosomal RNA", at positions 28 to 507 of the family's 1533-position model. The record is from RNAcentral.